GACGGAGGGUGCUAGCGUUGUUCGGAAUCACUGGGCGUAAAGGGCGCGUAGGCGGCGUCGCAAGUCGGCUGUGAAAGCCCGGGGCUCAACCCCGGAGGUGCAGCCGAGACUGCGGUGCUCGAGGCCGGAAGAGGAGGGUGGAAUACCCAGUGUAGAGGUGAAAUUCGUAGAUAUUGGGUGGAACACCGGUGGCGAAAGCGGCUCUCUGGUCCGGCACUGACGCUGAGGCGCGAAAGCGUGGGGAGCAAACAGGAUUAGAAACCCCCGUAGUCC
Molecule: ribosomal RNA, 273 nt
Filed under: uncultured bacterium
Lineage: Bacteria
Description: partial 16S ribosomal RNA
Rfam family: Bacterial small subunit ribosomal RNA
Source: RNAcentral